This 251-nucleotide ribosomal RNA is filed under the name uncultured prokaryote. RNAcentral's name for it is "partial 16S rRNA". It matches the Rfam family "Bacterial small subunit ribosomal RNA", at positions 525 to 775 of the family's 1533-position model. The record is from RNAcentral.
ACGGGGGGAGCAAGCGUUGUUCGGAUUUACUGGGCGUAAAGGGCGUCUAGGCGGAUUGGCAAGUCAGAUGUGAAAUCCCUCGGCUCAACCGAGGAUCUGCAUUUGAUACUGCUAGUCUUGAGUACGGAAGAGGAAAGCGGAAUUCCUGGUGUAGCGGUGAAAUGCGUAGAUAUCAGGAAGAACACCGGUGGCGAAGGCGGCUUUCUGGUCCGAUACUGACGCUGAAGCGCGAAAGUGUGGGGAGCGAACAG